This 497-nucleotide ribosomal RNA is filed under the name uncultured bacterium. Its description in RNAcentral is "partial 16S ribosomal RNA". It matches the Rfam family "Bacterial small subunit ribosomal RNA", at positions 28 to 507 of the family's 1533-position model. The record is from RNAcentral.
GAUGAACGCUGGCGGCGUGCCUAAUACAUGCAAGUCGAGCGAACGGACGAGAAGCUUGCUUUUCUGAUGUUAGCGGCGGACGGGUGAGUAACACGUGGAUAACCUACCUAUAAGACUGGGAUAACUUCGGGAAACCGGAGCUAAUACCGGAUAAUAUUUUGAACCGCAUGGUUCAAAAGUGAAAGACGGUCUUGCUGUCACUUAUAGAUGGAUCCGCGCUGCAUUAGCUAGUUGGUACGGUAACGGCUUACCAAGGCAACGAUGCAUAGACGACCUGAGAGGGGGAUAGGCGACACUGGAACGGAGACACGGUCAAGACUCCUAAGGGAGGCAGCAGUAGGGAAUCUUCCGCAAUGGGCGAAAGCCUGACGGAGCAAGGGCGCGUGAGUGAUGAAGGUCUUGGGAUCGGAAAACUCUGUUAUUAGGGAAGAACAGAUGUGGAAGUAAAUGUGCAGAUAUUGACGGUACCUAAUCAGAAAGCAACGGCUAACUACGUG